GUGGGGAAUAUUGCACAAUGGGCGAAAGCCUGAUGCAGCGACGCCACGUGAGGGAUGACGGCCUUCGGGUUGUAAACCUCUUUCAGCAGGGAAGAAGCGUAAGUGACGGUACCUGCAGAAGAAGCGCCGGCUAACUACGUGCCAGCAGCCGCGGUAAUACGUAGGGCGCAAGCGUUGUCCGGAAUUAUUGGGCGUAAAGAGCUCGUAGGCGGUCUGUCGCGUCUGGUGUGAAAUCCCAUGGCUCAACUGUGGGCUUGCAUCGGGUACGGGCAGACUAGAGUGCUGUAGGGGAGACUGGAAUUCCUGGUGUAGCGGUGGAAUGCGCAGAUAUCAGGAGGAACACCGAUGGCGAAGGCAGGUCUCUGGGCAGUUACUGACGCUGAGGAGCGAAAGCAUGGGGAGCGAACAGGAUUAGAAACCCGUGUAGUCC
This 430-nucleotide ribosomal RNA is filed under the name uncultured bacterium. RNAcentral describes it as "bacterial SSU rRNA". It matches the Rfam family "Bacterial small subunit ribosomal RNA", at positions 354 to 796 of the family's 1533-position model. The record is from RNAcentral.